AUGGUUUUCCUACCUGGAGUGAGAAGUUAAAGGAAGUUCCUUGGAAUGUCAGUGUGAGGAUGGAAACAAUGAUAACGAUCAGUCAUACAGAUUUCCUUCCUAGGGUGAGAAGUUGAAGGAAGUUCGUUGGAAUGUCAGUGCGGGGAUGGAAACAAUGGUUCGAUCAAAGUCGCAUGGCCAUUUCUGGUUUUCCUUCCUGGAGUGAGAAGAUAAAGGAAGUUCUUUGGAAUGUCAGUGCGAGAAUGAAAACGAUAAUUCGAUCAAAAUCAUACAGUCAUUUCUGGUUUUCCUUCCUGGAGUGAGAAGUUGAAGGAAGUUCAUUGGAAUGUCAGUGCGGGGAUGGAAACAAUGAUCCGAUCAAAGUCAUACAGCCAUUUCUGGUUUCCCUUCCUGGAGUCAAUAGCUGAAGGAUGUUGGAAUGUCAAUGGGGGAAUGGAAAUGAUGAUCCGAUCAAUGCAACAAGGAAUCAUCAUCCCCAUCAUCUGGAUGCCUCUCGUCGUCGUUCUUCCAUCGAGGGACCGGGUACAUCGCGGGUGAUUACGGGCGGGAGUGUUCUGGAGCUUCCAGAUUCGAACUUCGAAGGCUCCAGCACUCGGAACUUCGGAAUUUCCGUGAUACCGAGUCCUGGAGACUUUGAAAUUCGAAUCUCAAGGUCUCCAAAACUACGGGUCUCGAAAUUUUCGAGAUCCUUAUUUUUGGAGACUAAGAGAUUCGAAUUUCAAUGUUUCCAGGUCUUAGUACCACGGAACUUCCGAACUACGCGUGCUGGGGGCUUCUAGUUCGAAUCCGGGGCUCCAGUCGUCGGGCGUUGUCCCGGACGGUCUUCGAAUUAAAAAAACCUUUAGCGCUAAACCUGGUAGGCCUGAAAAUUUUUUUUUUGUCUAAAUAAAACAACUACGUAUUAUAUAUAUCUUU
Molecule: long non-coding RNA, 915 nt
Organism: Agrilus planipennis (emerald ash borer)
Lineage: Eukaryota; Metazoa; Arthropoda; Insecta; Coleoptera; Buprestidae
Exons: 6
Source: RefSeq, a predicted model, not a curated record